Molecule: ribosomal RNA, 438 nt
Filed under: uncultured bacterium
Lineage: Bacteria
Description: bacterial SSU rRNA
Rfam family: Bacterial small subunit ribosomal RNA
Source: RNAcentral
GCACAACGCGAAGAACCUUACCCACCUUUGACAUGUACGGAAUCCUUUAGAGAUAGAGGAGUGCUCGAAAGAGAGCCGUAACACAGGUGCUGCAUGGCUGUCGUCAGCUCGUGUCGUGAGAUGUUGGGUUAAGUCCCGCAACGAGCGCAACCCUUGCCAUUAGUUGCUACAUUUAGUUGAGCACUCUAAUGGGACUGCCGGUGACAAACCGGAGGAAGGUGGGGAUGACGUCAAGUCCUCAUGGCCCUUAUAGGUGGGGCUACACACGUCAUACAAUGGCUGGUACAAAGGGUUGCCAACCCGCGAGGGGGAGCUAAUCCCAUAAAGCCAGUCGUAGUCCGGAUCGCAGUCUGCAACUCGACUGCGUGAAGUCGGAAUCGCUAGUAAUCGCGAAUCAGAAUGUCGCGGUGAAUACGUACCCGGGUCUUGUACACACCG